GCGGGUCUUGCGGUGGAGCGGGGCUGGGAUUUUAUAGCUGCGUGGCGGCGCGGCGCGGUGGCGAAUCCCCGUGGAGAUCUGGGUGGGGCCCGGCCGCGCCUCGGAUCGGCUGCGCCCGUUGCAACAGCUGCACACGGCUCCCUCGUCGCGCCGUGCCCGUGCGCUAUUGGGCCAUGGGCCCUGGCGCCCUUGCCCUCCCGGUGAUCGAUUUCUCUGAAGGAAGGCAUCCCAGUGUGGCUCAAUGAACGGCCGAGGCUGCUGCCGUACUGGUACAGUUCUGUACUGUAGUAGGGCUGCAGUAGCCGUGGACAAGUUGAGUUGAUCCCACACCACAUGCAUGCUCGUCACUUAGACAUUUAUCCAGGUUCCAUGAACCGUACACUCUAUUCGUCGCCAACCAGCAAACAAUAUUUUUCUCUCACACCAAAUCAACAACAGCCACCAGCACCAGCCAGCCAGCAGUAUUUUUCUUUCAUAAAAAAUCAGCAUCAGCCACCAGCCACAGCCAGCCGAACAGAGCCAUACGGUUCCGACCUUUUCCCCGGGGCGGAAAGCCCACGGUCAAAGCUUUCCCUAUGCAUAUUUCCUAGCAAUUUGAAGCCCGCGUGGUGGGGUUUCACGGCCCGAUUUAAAAGGAAAUGAUGAGAUUUAAAGACCACGGUUAUAGUUGCCUCUUAAUAUGAAGAUGAAUUUUUUUAAAGAGUCAGAUUGAGAGUGAAAUAGAUAGUCAAAAUUGAUUACUCUGUUGGAGAUGCUCUAAAAAAAUCUCUCUCAAAAAAUAGGAGUCCAGAGGGUCGAAUUUGAGGGUCAUUGAUAUUUCUUCUCGUGGUAGGUGAUAUGUACAUCAACUUCGAGGUAGUCAUGGUGAUUUUAUUAAUCCAAGGUAUAUCGGUCUAUUGCCACGCAGGCGUGUGAGCACCUUAAGACAAGAAGAAAAUCCAUCAUUUUUCAAAUAAAAACUUUUAGAAGCAGAUGCAGUGAUUUCAUCCUAGAUUCUUUUCUGCAUCAUACAUGUGGAGCAGUUAAGACCUCGUGACACGCGGUGCCGAUCCGGUGGUUAGCCUUGGUGCUUCGUGGGGCAGGGGAUAUGUGUGGAUGCCGCCUGACGUGGAGGUAAACAAUUGGGUUGGUGGAUACCCCUUGGUACCCUGGGCCCUCCCUGAUUGAUACUUUCGUCCUGUCGCUGUGUUGCAUGAUAGUACCUCAUUGACAAAAUUGCAGAUUUCCUCUUCACGAGAAAUGCAGAGUUUAUGUUUGCCAGAAACUCGGGCGCGUACGCAGAAAACCGAAUGCGCCGGUGUUGCUCUCACCCUCGCCGCGAAAGGCCACGCCAUCGUGCAUGAGGUUGACACGAACUUUUAGCGGCGUCCGGGUUGUUGAGCAUCCAUUUCCUCCGUGCAGCUGUGCUGAAAAUGACAGUAUCUUCUUGAAUACAAGUGUGCUUCACUUUGGUUUCUUCUACCAGUUCUCUCAGACAUGGCAAGAAGAUUUACUUGGAACUCUGUCAACUUCGCUUCUGGAUCCAUGCUUGAAGCAUCCUCCAGAUUUAUCUCUUCAUCUCUUGUAAAAGUUGUAAUAAGUCACAGUUGUUGAGAUUCCGAUCAAACCCUACGGGACUAGAAAUCCAGAGGCAGUACGUAGGUGGGGGCUAGCCACUACAGCAACCCUCCAAGGCCUUUCACGAGGCGAAAAGCCGGGUCACUGAUUGAGGUUUUACUGUUCGCCGCUUUUCCUCUGCCUCAAGAGACGACAAUCGUGGUGUGGACAUUGGUGAGAUGUUGCUAUUUGCUCUGCAACAUCAGCUUCGACAGAGCCAUGGAGGAAAACGAAAUGGUGAGCGGUGACAACCAUACACGUGCAGUAAUGCUGAUGAUGAUAAGACGAUUGUCACAGGAUAGCAUCCACAUAAGAAAAUUACUGCAGAAAGAUUCUUUUCGAA
Molecule: long non-coding RNA, 1939 nt
Organism: Panicum virgatum (switchgrass)
Lineage: Eukaryota; Viridiplantae; Streptophyta; Magnoliopsida; Poales; Poaceae
Exons: 2
Source: RefSeq, a predicted model, not a curated record